GAUGAACGCUGGCGGCGUGCCUAAUACAUGCAAGUCGAGCGAACGGACGAGAAGCUUGCUUCUCUGAUGUUAGCGGCGGACGGGUGAGUAACACGUGGAUAACCUACCUAUAAGACUGGGAUAAUUUCGGGAAACCGGAGCUAAUACCGGAUAAUAUUUUGAACCGCAUGGUUCAAAAGUGAAAGACGGUCUUGCUGUCUCUUAUAGAUGGAUCCGCGCUGCAUUAGCUAGUUGGUAAGGUAACGGCUUACCAAGGCAACGAUGCAUAGCCGACCUGAGAGGGUGAUCGGCCACACUGGAACUGAGACACGGUCCAGACUCCUACGGGAGGCAGCAGUAGGGAAUCUGCCGCAAUGGGCGAGAGCCUGACGGAGCAACGCCGCGUGAGUGAUGAAGGUCUUCGGAUCGUAAAACUCUGUUAUGAGGGAAGAACAUAUGUGUAAGUAACUGUGCACAUCUUGACGGUACCUAAUCAGAAAGCCACGGCUAACUACGUG
Molecule: ribosomal RNA, 497 nt
Filed under: uncultured bacterium
Lineage: Bacteria
Description: partial 16S ribosomal RNA
Rfam family: Bacterial small subunit ribosomal RNA
Source: RNAcentral